Long non-coding RNA from Bufo bufo (common toad), 1411 nucleotides. RefSeq lists it as uncharacterized. NCBI's taxonomy places the organism in Eukaryota, Metazoa, Chordata, Amphibia, Anura, Bufonidae. The transcript has 2 exons. The record is from RefSeq and is a predicted model, not a curated record.
AACCAUAAAAGAAUAAAAAAUGUCAGGUACAUUUGGAUCCAACAUGUAAGGGUUUUAUGGUUCCCUUUCAAGGAACGCAGCAACCACACUGGUGUUUUGUGAUGCUCCAAGCUCACGUGCUUGGAAGCAGUUUUGUCUUAUCGCAAUUAAUAGGGCACAUAGUUCUGGCAUUAUUAAAAAAAAAAAAAAAUUUAAAUCAAAAGCAAAUGUUAAUUGGCGAUACAGGAUUUUUUUUUUUUUAUAUUUAGUAUGGACAGUUGGACAUGUGUUUCCCCAUACACUGAGAACAUGGGAGGACUUUAUCAUUGUACGACUAAGGGUGUUAUAUACAUCUGAAACACGUCACAGGAGGUGCGUUUUUGUGUGCACUAUGCGUUUGGCAUACCUGGAUUUUAUGACUAUUUUUCAAUAAAGUAUUCCAUUGUUUUAUCUGGAGGCUGGAAUGAACUUUCUUUUCAAGUUUGACUUCAUCAUUGUAGGUAUAUUUGAGGUUAGUUUUAGAUUGGAGUUGCUGUGUUCACCUGUGUCAAAUUUAGGAAAAUGACUUUUUUAAAAAAACUACACAUCUCAAAAGUGAUCUAGUUUGAAAUUCUGACCAAAAUUUUCACCCCAAAUAUGGGGCACAGUGCUCAAAAAGUUGCAAAAUGUGUGCAAGUAAACCCCAGAAAAUGGCAAAGCCCCUACUUGUGAAUUUUUGAAGCGAGAAUUAUGGCAUGCAGGGCUAAAUUGACCCCAUGAGAAAAAAAAAUAAAUAAAAAAAAAUAACUGUACAGUGGAAAACUUGCAGAUGGCGAAGUGCGAUUUACCACCUUGUAUUACAAGCCAACAUUUUCAGAACAGAAGAUUGAAAAUGGUUACCUAGUACUAAAACUAACAUGCUCGGAACAGAAUUUUUUUUGCACAGUAACCAUUUCAUUGUGCACGAAGCAAAUGCAAGUACACUACACCAGUGACGAGUGUAAAAAUACAGGCUUAUUUAACAAACAUAUGAUUGUUAAAGCACUUUUUAAACUAUACCUUUGCAUUGCCUCCUAGAAAUAUGUACAAUUUACUAGAAAUAGUUUUUCAGAUUAUUUUUUAAAUAUAUAUUAUUGUUGAACAGGGUCCAAACAUUACAUUAAAAAUAACUUUAAAAAUUAUAUACUAGGGAAAAUAGCACAAGGAAAAAAAAAACAGGACACAUUAAUUACUAUAAUGAUCAUGUCUUUAUAAAAUCAUUUAGUUAGAACACAAAAUAUAAAACACUGAAACCCUGCUUUAAAAAAAAAAAGUCUUCCCAUUAAAACAGGAGGCCAAAAUCUUCAUCACUUCUAUCCUUGCGGCAUGAUGCGGUCAUACAAAGGUUAAAGAAUGCUAGGUGUCUACAUGACUCCAGGGUAGCCGACAGUAACAUUUCUUACAAAUGCCAUUU